RNAcentral lists this unclassified non-coding RNA (286 nucleotides) under uncultured fungus. RNAcentral's name for it is "partial contains small subunit ribosomal RNA, internal transcribed spacer 1, and 5.8S ribosomal RNA". The stretch from base 1 to 73 matches the Rfam family "Eukaryotic small subunit ribosomal RNA", at positions 1759 to 1831 of the family's 1831-position model. Lineage: Eukaryota; Fungi. The record is from RNAcentral.
UCAAACUUGGUCAUUUAGAGGAAGUAAAAGUCGUAACAAGGUCUCCGUUGGUGAACCAGCGGAGGGAUCAUUACUGAGUGUAAAAACUCCCAAACCCCUGUGAACAUACCAUCUGUUGCUUCGGCGGGAUCGCCCCGGGCGCCUUUGCGUGCCCCGGAUCCAGGCGCCCGCCGGAGGACUCCAAACUCUUGUUUUAUAUGUGGCAUUAUCUGAGUGGCUUAUAGCAAAAUAAAUCAAAACUUUCAACAAUGGAUCUCUUGGCUCUGGCAUCGAUGAAGAACGCAGC